CGUGUGCUUACAAGUAGUCAGAGCCCGUUAAUGGGUGAUGGCGUGCCUUUUGUAGAAUGAACCGGCGAGUUACGAUUUGAUGCAAGGUUAAGCAGUAAAUGUGGAGCCGUAGCGAAAGCGAGUCUGAAUAGGGCGUUUAGUAUUUGGUCGUAGACCCGAAACCAGGUGAUCUACCCUUGGUCAGGUUGAAGUUCAGGUAACACUGAAUGGAGGACCGAACCGACUUACGUUGAAAAGUGAGCGGAUGAACUGAGGGUAGCGGAGAAAUUCCAAUCGAACC
RNAcentral lists this ribosomal RNA (280 nucleotides) under Staphylococcus aureus. Its description in RNAcentral is "partial 23S ribosomal RNA". It matches the Rfam family "Bacterial large subunit ribosomal RNA", at positions 557 to 839 of the family's 2925-position model. Lineage: Bacteria; Bacillati; Bacillota; Bacilli; Caryophanales; Staphylococcaceae. The record is from RNAcentral.